RNAcentral lists this ribosomal RNA (1467 nucleotides) under uncultured Bordetella sp. Its description in RNAcentral is "partial 16S-23S ribosomal RNA intergenic spacer". It matches the Rfam family "Bacterial small subunit ribosomal RNA". Lineage: Bacteria; Pseudomonadati; Pseudomonadota; Betaproteobacteria; Burkholderiales; Alcaligenaceae. The record is from RNAcentral.
GGUUCGAUCAUGGCUCAGAUUGAACGCUGGCGGGAUGCUUUACAUGCAAGUCGAACGGCAGCACGGACUUCGGUCUGGUGGCGAGUGGCGAACGGGUGAGUAAUGUAUCGGAACGUGCCUAGCGGGGGAUAACUACGCGAAAGCGUAGCUAAUACCGCAUACGCUCCUCGGGGAAAGCGGGGACCUUUCGGCCUCGCACUAUUAGAGCGGCCGAUAUCGGAUUAGCUAGUUGCGGGUAACGGCUCACCAAGGCGACGAUCCGUAGCUGGUUUGAGAGGACGACCAGCCACACUGGGACUGAGACAUUACCCAGACCUCACGGACAGCAAUGGGGAAUUUUGGACAAUGGGGGAAACCCCGAUCCAGCCAUCCCGCGUGUGCGAUGAAGGCCUUCGGGUUAAAGCACUUUUGGCAGGAAAGAAACGUGCAGCACGGGAUACACCCUGCGUGCAACUGACGGUACCUGCAGAAUAAGCACCGGCUAACUACGUGCCAGCAGCCGCGGUAAUACGUAGGGUGCAAGCGUUAAUCGGAAUUACUGGGCGUAAAGCGUGCAGGCGGUUCGAAAGGUAAGAUGUGGAAAUCCCAGGAGCUUAACUUUGAACUGCAUUUUUAACUGCACGAGCUGAUGUGUCAGAGGGAGGUGGAAUUCGCGUGUAGCAGUGAAAUGCGUAGAUAUGAGAACACUGAUAUGAAGGCAGCCUCCCUGGGAUAACACUGACGCUCAUGCACGAAAGCGUGGGGAGCAAACAGGAUUAGAUACCCUGGUAGUCCACGCCCUAAGCGAUGUCAACUAGCUGUUGGGGCCUUCGGGCCUCAGGUAGCGCAGCUAACGCGUGAAGUUGGACUGCCUGUAGGCGGUCGCAGAUUGUUCCAAAGGAAUUGACGGGGACCCGCACAAGCGGUGGAUGAUGUUGAUUAAUUCGAUGUGCAACGCGAAAAAACCUACCCUUACCCUGAUGUCUGAAUCCCAGUGGACUGGGGAGUGCUCGCAAGAGAACCGGAACACAGGUGCUGCAUGGCUGUCGUCAGCUCGUGUCGUGAGAUGUUGGGUUAAGUCCCGCAACGAGCGCAACCUUGUCACAGUUGCUACGAAAGGGCACUCUAAUGAGACUGCCGGUGACAAACCGGAGGAAGGUGGGGAUGACGUCAAGUCCUCAUGGCCCUUAUGGGUAGGGCUUCACACGUCAUACAAUGGUCGGGACAGAGGGUCGCCAACCCGCGAGGGGGAGCCAGAAUCCGCAGGAGAAACCCGAUCGUAGUCCGAUCGCAGUCUGCAACUCGACUGCGUGAAGUCGGAAUCGCUAGUAAUCGCGGAUCAGCAUGUCGCGGUGAAUACGCGUUCCCGGGUCUUGUACACACCGCCCGUCACACCAUGGGAGGGAGCCAACAGAAGUAGUUAGCCUAACCGUAAGGAGGGCGAUUACCACGGUAGAUCUGUUAUGAUCAGAAGUCGUAACAAGGUAA